Molecule: long non-coding RNA, 1239 nt
Filed under: Ovis aries (sheep)
Lineage: Eukaryota; Metazoa; Chordata; Mammalia; Artiodactyla; Bovidae
Description: lncRNA (ENSOARG00000026971.1)
Source: RNAcentral
AUGAUAGUAUACAUGUUAGAAUGUCAUUCUCCCAAAUCAUCCCACCCUCUCCCUCUCCCUCUGAGUCCAAAAGUCCGUUAUACACAUCUGUGUCUCUUUCCCUGUCUUGCAUACAGGGUCGUCAUUGCCAUCUUCCUAAAUUCCAUAAAAAUAAACGACCCAAUCAAAAAAUGGGCCAAAGAACUAAAUAGACAUUUCUCCAAAGAAGACAUACGGAUGGCUAACAAACACAUGAAAAGAUGCUCAACAUCACUCAUUAUUAGAGAAAUGCAAAUCAAAACCACAAUGAGGUACCACUUCACACCAGUCAGAAUGGCUGCGAUCCAAAAAUCUGCAAGCAAUAAAUGCUGGAGAGGGUGUGGAGAAAAGGGAACCCUCCUACACUGUUGGUGGGAAUGCAAACUAGUACAGCCACUAUGGAGAACAGUGUGGAGAUUCCUUAAAAAAUUGCAAAUAGAACUACCUUAUGACCCAGCAAUCCCACUGCUGGGCAUACACACCGAGGAAACCAGAAUUGAAAGAGACACAUGUACCCCAAUGUUCAUCGCAGCACUGUUUAUAAUAGCCAGGACAUGGAAACAACCUAGAUGUCCAUCAGCAGAUGAAUGGAUAAGAAAGCUGUGGUACAUAUACACAAUGGAGUAUUACUCAGCAGUUAAAAAGAAUUCAUUUGAAUCAGUUCUGAUGAGAUGGAUGAAACUGGAGCCGAUUAUACAGAGUGAAGUAAGCCAGAAAGAAAAACACCAAUACAGUAUACUAACACAUAUAUAUGGAAUUUAGGAAGAUGGCAAUGACAGGGUGGGAUGAUUUGGGAGAAUGCCAUUCUAACAUGUAUACUAUCAUGUGAAUUGAAUCGCCAGUCUAUGUCUGACGCAGGAUGCAGCAUGCUUGGGGCUGGUGCAUGGGGAUGACCCAGAAAGAUGUUAUGGGGAGUGAGUUGGGAGGGGGGUUCAUGUUUGGGAAUGCAUGUAAGAAUUAAAGAUUUUAAAAUUAAAAGAAAAAAAAAUAAAAUUAAAUAAAUAAAUAAAUAAAUAAAUAAAAAGAAAAUUGGGUGAAUGUAGCUGGAUAUAAAAGGUAAUAGUUAAAACUGGGGAUUUAUUUGAUCUUUCAGAAAGUAAAAAUGAGACGUUUUAUAAGUUUGACACUGUGUUAGUCACUAAGGUUGGAGCUAUAAACAGAGAAAGUAUCUUGCUCUUUGCAUUAGGAAGGCAAAGUCAUCUGGAAAGAACAUGGAAAGGC